CGGGGCUUCUGGUAUUAUGAUACUUCUCGAAUCGCACGGCUUGCGCUGGCGAUGGUUCAUUCAAAUUUCUGCCCUACCAACUUUCGACGGCUGGGUCUUGGCCAGCCAUGGUGACAACGGGUAACGGAGGGUUAGGGCUCGACCCCGGAGAAGGAGCCUGAGAAACGGCUACUACGUCCAAGGAAGGCAGCAGGCGCGCAAAUUAACCAAUCCCGACUCGGGGAGUUAGUGACAAUACAUACUGAUACAGGGGCUCUUUAAGGGUCUUGUAAUACGGAAUGAGUACAAUUUAAACCCCUUAACGAGGAACAAUUGGAGGGCAAGUCUGGUGCCAGCAGCCGACGGUAAUUCCAGCUCCAAUAGCGUAUAUUAAAGUUGUUAGCAGUUAAAAAGCUCGUAGUUAGAACCUUGAGGACCUGGCUGGCCGGUCCGNCUCACCGACGUGCACUGGUCCGGCCGGGCCUUUCCCUCUGGGGAACCUCAUGCCCUUCACUGGGUGUGCUGGGGAACCAGGACUUUUACUUUGAACAAAUCAGAUCGCUUACAGAAGGCCUAUGCUCGAAUAUAUUAGCAUGGAAUAAUAGAAUAGGACGUGUGGAU
Molecule: ribosomal RNA, 600 nt
Filed under: uncultured fungus
Lineage: Eukaryota; Fungi
Description: SSU rRNA
Rfam family: Eukaryotic small subunit ribosomal RNA
Source: RNAcentral